GCCGAAGUGGCGGAACUGGCAGACGCGCGCGACUCAAAAUCGCGUUCCCUCGGGAGUGUGGGUUCGACUCCCACCUUCGGCACCU
RNAcentral lists this transfer RNA (85 nucleotides) under Chloroflexota bacterium. RNAcentral's name for it is "Chloroflexi bacterium (sediment metagenome) tRNA-Leu". It matches the Rfam family "tRNA". Rfam says of the family: Transfer RNA (tRNA) molecules are approximately 80 nucleotides in length. Their secondary structure includes four short double-helical elements and three loops (D, anti-codon, and T loops). The record is from RNAcentral. Lineage: Bacteria; Bacillati; Chloroflexota.